UACGGAGGGUGCAAGCGUUAUCCGGAUUUACUGGGUUUAAAGGGUGCGUAGGUGGAUAAUUAAGUCAGUGGUGAAAUCUUCAGGCUUAACCUGGAAACUGCCAUUGAUACUAUUUAUCUUGAAUACUUUGGGGGUAAGCGGAAUAUGUCAUGUAGCGGUGAAAUGCUUAGAUAUGACAUAGAACACCAAUUGCGAAGGCAGCUUACUACACAGUAAUUGACACUGAGGCACGAAAGCGUGGGGAUCAAACAGG
Molecule: ribosomal RNA, 253 nt
Filed under: uncultured bacterium
Lineage: Bacteria
Description: partial 16S ribosomal RNA
Rfam family: Bacterial small subunit ribosomal RNA
Source: RNAcentral